Molecule: transfer RNA, 75 nt
Filed under: uncultured archaeon
Lineage: Archaea
Description: tRNA-Asn
Rfam family: tRNA
About the family: Transfer RNA (tRNA) molecules are approximately 80 nucleotides in length. Their secondary structure includes four short double-helical elements and three loops (D, anti-codon, and T loops). Further hydrogen bonds mediate the characteristic L-shaped molecular structure. tRNAs have two regions of fundamental functional importance: the anti-codon, which is responsible for specific mRNA codon recognition, and the 3' end, to which the tRNAs corresponding amino acid is attached (by aminoacyl-tRNA synthetases). tRNAs cope with the degeneracy of the genetic code in two manners: having more than one tRNA (with a specific anti-codon) for a particular amino acid; and 'wobble' base-pairing, i.e. permitting non-standard base-pairing at the 3rd anti-codon position.
Source: RNAcentral
UGCCUUUGUAGCUCAGCAGGUAGAGCAACUGACUGUUAAUCAGUGGGUCGCUGGUCCGAGUCCAGCCAAAGGCGU